GUCCCGGUCCGGAUCGGGCAGAUCCUCGACGAUCCGGCCGUCGGCGAGGAAGAGGGCGCGAUCGGCGUAGGAGGCGGCGACCGGGUCG
RNAcentral lists this transfer RNA (88 nucleotides) under Acidipropionibacterium virtanenii. RNAcentral's name for it is "tRNA-Arg". The record is from RNAcentral. Lineage: Bacteria; Bacillati; Actinomycetota; Actinomycetes; Propionibacteriales; Propionibacteriaceae.